RNAcentral lists this unclassified non-coding RNA (197 nucleotides) under uncultured fungus. Its description in RNAcentral is "sequence contains ITS1". The record is from RNAcentral. Lineage: Eukaryota; Fungi.
GUUACUUGUUAAGGUAUAUGACAUUCGAGACUCGAGUGGUUUGAUGUAAAGCGGAUGCGGCCCAGCGUGUGGACCGCAACCGAAAAGGUGCACAGGGGUGUGAGGUUCGACAGCGUGCGGCCAACGGCGCACAGCUGAAGGGUUUUGGCACGAGGCCAGAAUCUUUAAUGAUCCUUCCGCAGGUUCACCUACGGAAA